CAGUGCAUUGGUAGCUAGUGAAGCCAGGGGCGGUAGCGUG
Molecule: non-coding RNA, 40 nt
Organism: Escherichia coli ISC11
Lineage: Bacteria; Pseudomonadati; Pseudomonadota; Gammaproteobacteria; Enterobacterales; Enterobacteriaceae
Source: Rfam